This 253-nucleotide ribosomal RNA is filed under the name uncultured bacterium. RNAcentral describes it as "partial 16S ribosomal RNA". It matches the Rfam family "Bacterial small subunit ribosomal RNA", at positions 524 to 776 of the family's 1533-position model. The record is from RNAcentral.
UACGGGGGGGGCAAGCGUUGUUCGGAAUUACUGGGCGUAAAGGGCUCGUAGGCGGCCAACUAAGUCAGACGUGAAAUCCCCAGGCUCAACCUGGGAACUGCGUCUGAUGCUGGAUGGCUUGAAUCCGGGAGAGGGAUGCAGAAUUCCAGGUGUAGCGGUGAAAUGCGUAGAUAUCUGGAGGAAUACCGGUGGCGAAGGCGGCAUCCUGGACCGGCAUUGACGCUGAGGAGCGAAAGCCAGGGGAGCAAACGGG